Molecule: ribosomal RNA, 499 nt
Filed under: uncultured bacterium
Lineage: Bacteria
Description: bacterial SSU rRNA
Rfam family: Bacterial small subunit ribosomal RNA
Source: RNAcentral
UGAACGCUGGCGGCGUGCCUAACACAUGCAAGUUGAGCGGUAAGGCCCCUUCGGGGGUACACGAGCAGCGAACGGGUGAGUAUCGCGUGGGUAAUCUACCUAGAGGUAGGGGAUAGCCUCGGGAAACCGAGGGUAAUACCGCAUAAGUCCUCGACGGCAUAAGUCGACGAGGGGAAAGGCGGGGCUCCUUCGGGACCUGUCGCCUCUGGAUGAGCCCGCGUCCGAUUAGCUAGUUGGUGAGGUAAUGGCUCACCAAGGCAACGAUCGGUAGCCGGCCUGAGAGGGUGAACGGCCACAUUGGGACUGAGACACGGCCAGACUCCUACGGGAGGCAGCAGUGGGGAAUUUUGGGCAAUGGGGGAAACCCUGACCCAGCGACGCCGCGUGGAGGAUGACGGCCUUCGGGUUGUAAACUCCUGUCAGGUGGGAAGAAGAGCUUGUCGGAUAAUACUCGGCAGGAAUUGACGGUACCACCAAAGGAAGCCCGGCUAACUCCGUG